This 1204-nucleotide long non-coding RNA is filed under the name Salmo salar (Atlantic salmon). RNAcentral describes it as "lncRNA (ENSSSAG00000101637.1)". The record is from RNAcentral. Lineage: Eukaryota; Metazoa; Chordata; Actinopteri; Salmoniformes; Salmonidae.
GUAGGACUUAGGCCUCCUGGGUCCUGUGUUAGAGAGGGAUGCAGAGAGAGAGAUGCGAAGAGAUAUGCAGAAACAGAGAGAGAGAGAGAGAGAUGAUGUAGAGGCAGUUUUAUACUUCCCUGAUACAUCCCUCCCUACAUCGCUGCUGCCCCAAACAAGAAACACAAUUGGACAGGGAUGAAAUAGAAGUCCUGGGAGUGCAUUCUGACGAAGAACAGCAAUGCUCCUCUGUCAGAAACAACUUGAAGCACAAUGCCUCAGAUGGAAAUGCCAAGGGGCGUUGCACUCCAGACUGGGACUCAUCAAAGCAAACAGCAGGGCCAGGAGGGGUGAAAUGGCUGGCAGCCUUCCAGCUACCACAGAACUCCUGUACUUCAUCCACUGUCGGUCUGCCUCCAUCACCACCAGCAUCUUCAAUGGGGAAUAGGACUUUGUCAGUGGACAAGGGGUCCUCAGAUUCAGGGUUCUCAAUGGCUGGGAGGCAGCUCCUCACUGUCACUGUCAAAAUCUGAUUCCUGAAAUUCCAGAGUUUCCGCAUUUGUGAGUUGUCUCCUUUUGAAAGACAUUGCUAAUGCUACAGCUUAGCUCACUAGCUACAUACAUAAACAACAACACUGAAUGGCUCAGAGUGGGAGUGAGAGGUUACGUAAAUGACUGCCUGCACGCGCCAUUUGUAUCAAUAAAUAACUAUCAGAAAAUGUUUUGUUUGGUAAUUAUUGAUAUAGUUACUGUUUUAUUCAUGUUUUUCAAUUACCGGUGAUAAAUCAUGCAUUCUGAUUCUUGCAUAGAUUGUAAUGGGCACAUAGUAUGUGUAAAAUACUUUUUUGAAGGUUGUACUGAUUAUGAUGAGCUAAGCUAAUUCCAGCUAUGUGUGGAGCCAUGUUUGUUGACAUACAAUGUAUUCUGGGUUUCACGUAAUCGUCUGUCGGACCAAAGAUGCUAAAACAAAAUGAGGUGAGUAAGGGUUCACUCAUUUUUUGAGGACUUCAGGAAGUGAAUGGUGGGAUGUGAACGAUGGUAGACGACACACCCCUUCAACAUGCAUACUAUAAACAGACCGAACUCAUCUUGUCUUCUCUUAUUAUCUUUGGUUUCUGUGAGGAAAAAAAAGCAUGGCUGCACGCUGAAAGUCAUCAUCGUCGGAUUACUUUCGAUUUCUAGAAAGUGUUUUACUCAAUUAUUUCGAUAAAUGGUGAGCUCACCC